CCCUCGCGUGCUCCCGGGUCCGACGGUGCAGCGCCCUUCUGCAGCCCGGAGCCGCAGGGGUGGUUUUCCCCCGUUAAGGAGCGGUGCAGAAAGGCUCAGAGCUGCAGUGGGAAUUGUGUGCGUGCCCACGAGGGCUCGUAAUUAGCGCUAGGGAUUACUGUGAAAUAAGGGAGCGGGAAGCUCCCAUCUGCUGCCCCGGUACCGGGGCACAGCCUCCCGCAUUCCAAGCCCUUCCGUUUGGCACCGCCGCUCUCAGAACGGCCCCAGCUGGCUGCAGCUGCAGCACAACAGCCCAGCACUACAUCACUCUCCCGAGGGCCCCAGCGUUGCUGUGCCAGGAACACACUUUGACCCCCUCCCACCUAUUCUAAUCCCCAACGGAUUUUGCCACCAGCUCCCAGUACGGCUGGGACACGAGCUGCAGCAGCAUGAAUGAACCCAUGGUCGACUCAGGCAAAGCCAGUGAUGUCUCGGUGUCCAGCUGGCCUGUGGAGCCCAACCCCUGGGUGCCCUUCUCCCUCCUGCAGCAGCACUCCAGGCAGCAACCGCAGCCAGGCAGGCGGCCACGCUCCUUCUGCGAGGGGCUGGAGCUGUGUACGCUGGAGCGGAGCUGGACGGCCUGAGCGCUACAGACUGAACCGUGGCACCAAGCAUCAGCUUUAAAACCAACCACAUUUUAUUUCCACGUAACAAGCUCAGUGAAAGAAGUCCAAACACUUUGACAAUACAAUCAACGCGGGCGUGAUGUCAGUUCCACUCGAUGCGGAGUCCUGAAAGAUUAUCAGGCAACGGUUUCACGGGGGUCAGAGCAGACUUGGGAAGCCAGCUUGGGCUGGGACAGCGUGGUUCGUAGCGAUAGGUACAGAAGUGUCCAAUAACACACAAUGCUGGCAUCCAACAGAGUUAAUGACUUACAUCCGGCAAUUUGAAAAUAAAGGCUAACAGAUUGUUGAAGUCACAUCAUACUAUGUACAUACAUGGUCUGCCCUAUAGCCAUUUCAGAACAAGCUAAGCCACUGUGAAGUGAAAUACAAAUUAAGCGCUGCUGCAUUGUUUGUCAUGAUUAAUGUAAAUGAGGUAUAAAUUUAAACACCAGUACGUUUUAAGCAUUAAAGUUUAUUUUCCAAAAU
Molecule: long non-coding RNA, 1130 nt
Organism: Lagopus leucura (white-tailed ptarmigan)
Lineage: Eukaryota; Metazoa; Chordata; Aves; Galliformes; Phasianidae
Exons: 2
Source: RefSeq, a predicted model, not a curated record